AGAGUUUGAUCAUGGCUCAGGACGAACGCUGGCGGCGCGCUUAACACAUGCAAGUCGAGCGAGAACCUGGCCUUCGGGCCUGGGGAAAGCGGCGAACGGGUGAGUAACACGUGGGUAACCCACCCUUGGUACUGGGAUAGCCCGGGGAAACCCGGAUUAAUACCGGAUGGCCCAACAGCUCUUCGGGGCGGUUGGAAAAGGUAGCUUCGGCCUCCGACCAAGGACGGGCCCGCGGCGGAUUAGCUUGUUGGUGGGGUAACGGCCUACCAAGGCGACGAUCCGUAGCUGGUCUGAGAGGACGAUCAGCCACACUGGGACUGAGACACGGCCCAGACUCCUACGGGAGGCAGCAGUGGGGAAUCUUGCGCAAUGGGCGAAAGCCUGACGCAGCGACGCCGCGUGGGGGAAGAAGGCUUUCGGGUUGUAAACCCCUUUCAGGAAGGACGAAGCCACUCGGGUUAAUAGCCCAGAGGGUGACGGUACUUCCAGAAGAAGCCCCGGCUAACUACGUGCCAGCCGCCGCGGUAAUAC
Molecule: ribosomal RNA, 531 nt
Filed under: uncultured bacterium
Lineage: Bacteria
Description: bacterial SSU rRNA
Rfam family: Bacterial small subunit ribosomal RNA
Source: RNAcentral